RNAcentral lists this long non-coding RNA (375 nucleotides) under Brassica napus (rape). RNAcentral's name for it is "long non-coding RNA (BNAP_LNC007472)". Lineage: Eukaryota; Viridiplantae; Streptophyta; Magnoliopsida; Brassicales; Brassicaceae. The record is from RNAcentral.
GUGUGUUUCCGCCUCAAGUGGAGAAAGGCUAAGGUUUUGGUCGUUAUAUAACAUGAAUCUUCAUCAUGUGGGGCUCCUCACUUGUUCUAAUUGGGUUUAAAAUAAUCACGGCCACAUGAUUAUUACAUCUAAGUACUAAUCCCUAUCAUAUGUUAAGUUUAAGAAACUCAAAAAAAAAAAAAGUCUAAGAAACUCAAGAUUGCGAGAUACCAAAUCAUAUAACUUUUCAAGAAACCUAGAGGUGUUAUAAAUUAGUGUAUUUUUGUAUUGUAUCCGUGAACCAUGUGGGUAAACCACUAAACCGUAAACCUAGAGAUGUAUACACACGCAUAUUCGCUCAUUCACAUAGAAACUAACAAGCAUUGGUAUUUGGGU